RNAcentral lists this ribosomal RNA (253 nucleotides) under uncultured bacterium. RNAcentral describes it as "partial 16S ribosomal RNA". It matches the Rfam family "Bacterial small subunit ribosomal RNA", at positions 524 to 776 of the family's 1533-position model. The record is from RNAcentral.
UACAGAGGGUGCGAGCGUUAAUCGGAAUUAUUGGGCGUAAAGCGCGCGUAGGCGGCUUUGCAAGUCGGGUGUGAAAUCCCCAGGCUUAACCUGGGAACUGCAUUCGAGACUGCAUUGCUAGAGUAUGGGAGAGGGAAGUGGAAUUUCCGGUGUAGCGGUGAAAUGCGUAGAUAUCGGAAGGAACAUCAGUGGCGAAAGCGACUUCCUGGACCAAUACUGACGCUCAUGUGCGAAAGCGUGGGGAGCAAACAGG